Molecule: long non-coding RNA, 501 nt
Filed under: Rattus norvegicus (Norway rat)
Lineage: Eukaryota; Metazoa; Chordata; Mammalia; Rodentia; Muridae
Description: long non-coding RNA NONRATT033462
Source: RNAcentral
GUUGCUUAGACAAAGGAAACAUAAUCUUCUUAAUUCUUAUCCCCAGGGAAAAGACUAUGCAUACAUAAUCAGAAAAAUCCUGGCUAAUAACUAAACCAGGGGUCGUCGUGCUUCAAGAUAGCUUGAACUCUCCCGAAACCCAUCGGCUGUCUCCAGCAGUUCUCGUUCCUCUUAAUUUGAGAUCUUGACGAAGAAAGCUUGAAGCAUCCAUCCUUCCUGCUGGGCCACAAGGAUUAAGUGAUUGCUACAGUUGGCUCCCCUGGCCACCCCUCCCCUGCAAAGUGCCAGCUGAGGUUGAAGGAGAUUCAUCGCUUGCCACUUCCUCAGCUUACAGCAGACCAAAUUCAGGCCCUUUUCUGCCUAAUGAGGCCCGCAGAGCCACCAGCUGUCGCUGCUUAUCCUCAAAUCCACCAAAGGAGCAGCAGGUAGCACCCAUCUGCCACAAAUUUGGGUUUGCUAAGAGAUGUAGUUACCAGUCCUCACCAUUAGUUGACUAUCUAG